This 1237-nucleotide long non-coding RNA is filed under the name Sus scrofa (pig). Its description in RNAcentral is "lncRNA (ENSSSCG00040058315.1)". Lineage: Eukaryota; Metazoa; Chordata; Mammalia; Artiodactyla; Suidae. The record is from RNAcentral.
GCCCCACCCAUUAGGGCUGAGAAGCCCCAGGCCAAACAAUAAUCCAGGUGGGAUCACAGCCCCACCCAUCAGUAAACAGGCUGCCUAAAGACCCCUCAGGCACACAGCUGCCUCUAAUUCCAUCCAGAGACUAAGCCCCACCCACCAGAGGGGUUAGAAUCAGCUCCACCUACCAGUGGGCAGGCAUCAGGCCCUCCCACUAGGAAGCCUACAGCAAGCCCCCCAUACUGACUUCAGCCACAAGGGAGGCAGACAUCAGAAGUAAGAGAGGAUACAACUCUAUUAUCUAUAAAAAGAUCACCAGGCUAAAAACCUAUAAAAAUGAAAAGACAGAGAACUAUAACUCAGAUGAGGGAGAAAGGAAAAACCCCAGAAAAUCAGCUAAGCAAUGAGGAGAUUCUCAGCAUACAGGAAAAAGACUUUAGAUUGUUGAUGCUGAAGAUGAUGCAAGACAUUGGAAAUAAACUGGAGGCAAAGAUAGCUAACUUACAGGAAACACUGAGCAAAGAGAUACAAGAUAUAAAGCUUAAACAAGAAGAGAUGCAAAAUACAAUCACUGAAAUAAAAAAUUCACUAGAAGCCGCUAACAGCAGAAUACAAGAGGCAGAAGAACGAAUAAACAAGGUGGAAGACAGAUUAGUGGAAAUUAUGGAUGUGGAAUAUAAAAGAGAAAAAAGAUUGAAAACAAAUGAAGAGAGUCUCAGAGAACUCUGGGACAACAUUAAACGCACCAACAUCUGCAUUGUAGGGGUGCCAGAAGAAGAGAGAGAGAAGGGGACAAAAAAAUAUUUCAAGAGAUAAUAGGCAAAAACUUCCCUAACAUAGGAAAGGAACCACUCACUCAAAUCCAGGAAGCACAACGAGUACCAUAUAAAAUAAACCCAAGGAGGAACACCCUGAGACACAUAUUAAUGAAACUGACCAAAAUUAAAGACAAAGAGAAAAUCUUGAAAGCAGCUAGGGAAAAGAAACAAGUAACAUACAAGGGAACCCCAAUAAGGUUAUUGGCAGAUUUUUCAGCAGAAACUCUGCAGGCCAGAAGGGAGUGGCAUGAUAUACUUAACAUGAUGAAAGGAAAAAACCUCCUACCAAGAUUACUCUACCCAGCAAGGCUAUCAUUUAGAUUUGAAGGAGAAAUCAAAACCUUCAUAGAUAAGCAAAAGAUGAGAGAAUUCAGCAACACUAAACCAGCCUUACAACAAAUACUAAAGGAACUUCUCUAGGCAGAAAAGAAAAG